GGGGAUAUAGCUCAGUGGUAGAGCGCAUGCUUAGCAUGCAUGAGGUCCUGGGUUCGAUCCCCAGUGUCUCCA
This 72-nucleotide transfer RNA is filed under the name Vicugna pacos (alpaca). Its description in RNAcentral is "tRNA-Ala (AGC) (tRNA-Ala-AGC-5-1)". It matches the Rfam family "tRNA". Rfam says of the family: Transfer RNA (tRNA) molecules are approximately 80 nucleotides in length. Their secondary structure includes four short double-helical elements and three loops (D, anti-codon, and T loops). Lineage: Eukaryota; Metazoa; Chordata; Mammalia; Artiodactyla; Camelidae. The record is from Rfam by way of RNAcentral.